This is a long non-coding RNA of Cicer arietinum (chickpea), 515 nucleotides long. RefSeq lists it as uncharacterized. Lineage: Eukaryota; Viridiplantae; Streptophyta; Magnoliopsida; Fabales; Fabaceae. The record is from RefSeq and is a predicted model, not a curated record.
UUGACUGCAUGAAAAUGUGAGAAUUAUAAACUUUAUAAAUACUUAAUCUAUUUAUAACAGAACAAUCAUCUUCCAAAAUACCCGAGAGUGAAGAAAAGCAAAUUAAGGUAUCUUACAAAAUGGUUUCAUGUUUUGAUUUUUUUCUUUCAUUCAGUUUUGGCAACAUGGCAAAGCGUUUAUUUUCAAGGACUGAUCAAGCUAACACUAAGCCUAAGCCAUCUAAUUCUCAAUUUACAAUUGUGACACGAGACCGUCCAAGGAACCAUAAUUAUUAAUAGGAAUAUAUGCUGUGCAUAAUUUUUUUUUAUUACGUAUAUUAAGAAAAAGUAAGUAGAAAAAAUAUGUAUAAAUGUUUAAGUUUCUAUUGGACAUAAAUUUUAGCUCAAUAUAUUGUUGUAGAUUUUUAAUGUGAGUUGUUUGAAAGUUAUUAUUAAAAAAAUAAUUGUUGCAGCAUGCCACUGUAUCACUUUUUCUUCUCUUGUGCAUAUUCCAUAAAUUGAAAAGUGCUUAAGUUU